GACGAACGCUGGCGGCGUGCUUAACACAUGCAAGUCGAACGGAAAGGCCCCGCUUUUGUGGGGUGCUCGAGUGGCGAACGGGUGAGUAACACGUGAGUAACCUGCCCUUGACUUUGGGAUAACUUCAGGAAACUGGGGCUAAUACCGGAUAGGAGCUCCUGCUGCAUGGUGGGGGUUGGAAAGUUUCGGCGGUUGGGGAUGGACUCGCGGCUUAUCAGCUUGUUGGUGGGGUAGUGGCUUACCAAGGCUUUGACGGGUAGCCGGCCUGAGAGGGUGACCGGCCACAUUGGGACUGAGAUACGGCCCAGACUCCUACGGGAGGCAGCAGUGGGGAAUAUUGCACAAUGGGCGGAAGCCUGAUGCAGCAACGCCGCGUGCGGGAUGACGGCCUUCGGGUUGUAAACCGCUUUCGCCUGUGACGAAGCGUGAGUGACGGUAAUGGGUAAAGAAGCACCGGCUAACUACGCG
This 468-nucleotide ribosomal RNA is filed under the name uncultured bacterium. RNAcentral's name for it is "partial 16S ribosomal RNA". It matches the Rfam family "Bacterial small subunit ribosomal RNA", at positions 28 to 507 of the family's 1533-position model. The record is from RNAcentral.